Molecule: long non-coding RNA, 275 nt
Filed under: Physcomitrium patens
Lineage: Eukaryota; Viridiplantae; Streptophyta; Bryopsida; Funariales; Funariaceae
Description: long non-coding RNA (PPAT_LNC001760)
Source: RNAcentral
UUCAUCUAAAAAACAAGUAGAUGCCCCCGAAUCCAAUAAAGCUAAAGUUUUUUAUUUUUGAGGGCCUAAAAACAAAGGAAUUGUAAAACAACGGGCAGGUUGGACAGAGAAGGAAGAACCUGAUUGUUGUCGUGAUAUUAGAUUGUCCAGCCGCACGGUUCCUACUGUGGCUGGGCGUCGUCGUUUUCCGGAAUCAUCGCACUUCUAGUCUUGACAGGGUGCCAAUUUUGCUUCUUGGGGCAAUUUCCAACCUUGUGACCUUCUUCUCCAUAGUA